Molecule: long non-coding RNA, 779 nt
Filed under: Selaginella moellendorffii
Lineage: Eukaryota; Viridiplantae; Streptophyta; Lycopodiopsida; Selaginellales; Selaginellaceae
Source: RNAcentral
GUCUUGGGAUAGUUGGAGUUAAGCGUCCUUGGGUUUGAAUAGUACUGGGCUGGGUGACCUCCCGGGAAGUCCAAACUCAGGAGCUUACAUUUGGUAUCGGAGCGGUCUCGGGUCCGACUCUGUUGAUUGGCUAGGGGAAUCGCACCACAUGUUGAUUGACAUCUGGCUGGUCCAGUUUGCUCCCGUUGGGCUCGACCCGAGGGGUAGGGUGUCAAGAGAGCGAGGCUCUCGGGAGAGCUGCGGCUCUCAGCUUCCGUUCACGAGGGCGUGAACUUGCAAGGAAGCGUGGUGGAUUGUAAGCAACCAAAGGGAACGACUCGAGAGACGAUCCAUGGGGUUCAAAUAUAGAGGGAAAGGGCCCAUGAACAAGAGUGCACCCCCUUUUCUAAUCGGUUAAGGGUCUUGGGAUAUUUGGGGUUAAGCGUCCUUGGGUUUGAAUAGUACUGGGCUGGGUGACCUCCCGGGAAGUCCAAACUCAGGAGCUUACAUUUGGUAUCAGAGGGGUCUCGGGUCCGACUCUGUUGGUUGGCUAGGGGAAUCACACCACAUGUUGAUUGACAUCUGGCUGGUCCAGUUUGCUCGGGGAAUCACACCACAUGUUGAUUGACAUCUGGCUGGUCCAGUUUGCUCCCGCUGGGCUCGACCCGAGGGGUAGGGUGUCAAGAGAGCGGGGCUCUCAAGAGAGCUGCGGCUCUCAGCUUCCGUUCACGAGGGCGUGAACUUGCAGGGAAGCGUGGUGGAUUGUAAGCAACCAAAGGGAACGACUCGAGAGACGAUCC